RNAcentral lists this long non-coding RNA (1567 nucleotides) under Sus scrofa (pig). RNAcentral's name for it is "lncRNA (ENSSSCG00065078696.1)". Lineage: Eukaryota; Metazoa; Chordata; Mammalia; Artiodactyla; Suidae. The record is from RNAcentral.
UUUAUGCAAAAUGAACUAAUGAGAAGCAGAAGUUAAAGCAGAGGAAAUAGAGUCCUCAAAAAGUGAAAGAAUACAAGGGCACGACAGAAAGAAGCAGACAUGCAAAGAGCAGCUAGGAUCCAGUGAUGAUGGAUCAUCAGAGGAAAGCUCCAUUCACUGAACACAGAGGGCUCCAGGGCAUCUCAAGAUGCAGAACCAACCUAAGGCUCCUGUUCCCCAAAGCUCAGGUGUCUUGUUUUCUCUUUAAUGGCAGCUGGACACAGACUCACUGCAGGCAGCCAUGCUUAUGAUGAAGUAUAACAAAGUCAGACAAAGAGGAGGAUGGACUGAGCCCUUAGUCAAAGGACUGAGCCUACCAGCCAGCUGAUGUCCUGGUACCAUUUGCCCUGAACGGUGACUGCUUCAGAUUGAGAGUCAUUUGCUAUAGUCUGCCUGUUUAAGAAAGCCCAGUCUCUCCAUAUAUCCAGUCCAUUCUGGGUUAAGUACCAAUAUUGAAUAUUUAUCACUAAGUCCCUUACACGUGAUAUUUAAAAAUGUCAUUUGUUAAUCAAUUGCUAUUAUCAUUUCUAUUGUAAAUCAAUGUAAGUACUUUCCAUGUAUGGGUUUGUUAGUAUUUUAUGCAUACCCCAUGGACCUGGAAAUUAGAGUAACCUCUUCUGAUUUAAUUGUAGUAGUUUCCAUUAGUCUCUCCUGGAUUUUUAGGGUUCUGUUCAUAGGACUGUCUUGUUUUCCCUUAGACUAGACUUCCGUGAUGGCCAUCAUCAUCAUAAUGUCAACAUAUAUUGGGUACUCACCAUGCUUGAAACAUUGCGUAACUAACACACUAACACUCAUUCAAUUCUGUAAGUUGCUACUUUUAUGAUUACUACUAGUAGUACUACUACCACUAGUACUACUAUUAUUAUUACCUCCAUUUUGUAGUUGAGGAAGUUGAGUCAUAGAGAAGCUUCUUGCCCACAGAUCACAAAACUGGGGAGGGUCGGAGCGAGAAUAUGUAACCUAUGUCUGUGUGACUCCAAAUUCUGAGCCCUCGAGAGGUCCACCAUUUACACUCCUCCCUGUCUAGGACCUAAAAAAAACUUCAUUUCUACUGGUUUCGCUAAAAUGGUGGCCCAAUGAAUGUCAGGUUAUGGACUAAUUUACCAAAUUAUAAGAACAUGAACUUAGUCUAAAGUGAAUGACAGCUACCUGAAUGUGAUGAGUCUAAGUGAUUGUCUAAGUUAAUCAGCUUCAGAAAAAACAGAGCUGCUUUGUAAGGGAAAGCAGUAAGUAUUAGGAAAAAUGGGUUUCUCUUUUUUUAUUCUUUUCUGUGUGCCACUGGGUAAGUUUCUAGCUUCUCUAUGCUUUAAUUCCUAGAGUUGGACUAGAUAGAGUUUAAGGCAGUGUUCUUCAAACUGCAUCUCAGAAGACAUUAGUGGGUUAUGAAAUCAAUUUAGUGAAUCACAACCAUCAUAUUUUAAGAAAUGAAGAGCAGACAUAAAUAUAUUUAUAGCAUUAGUACUAUCCUAUUUGUAGUAUUAGAAUGGUAGAAAAUAAAAAAUAGAGAUACUUAUCUCUAUAGUAAGAU